Molecule: ribosomal RNA, 447 nt
Filed under: uncultured bacterium
Lineage: Bacteria
Description: bacterial SSU rRNA
Rfam family: Bacterial small subunit ribosomal RNA
Source: RNAcentral
UGGGGAAUAUUGGACAAUGGGCGCAAGCCUGAUCCAGCCAUGCCGCGUGAGUGACGAAGGCCUUAGGGUUGUAAAGCUCUUUUGGCGGGGACGAUAAUGACGGUACCCGCAGAAUAAGCCCCGGCUAACUUCGUGCCAGCAGCCGCGGUAAUACAGAGGGUGCGAGCGUUAAUCGGAGUGACUGGGCGUAAAGGGCAUGUAGGCGGUUAUAUUAGUCUGAUGUAAAAGACCCGGGCUUAACCUGGGAUAUGCAUUGGAAACGGUAUAGCUAGAGUAUGGGAGAGGGAAGUGGAAUUUCCGGUGUAGCGGUGAAAUGCGUAGAGAUCGGAAAGAACACUCGUGGCGAAGGCGGCUCACUGGACGUGUAUUGACGCUGAGGUACGAAAGCGUGGGGAGCAAACAGGAUUAGAUACCCUCGUAGUCCCUGAGCGGGCUGGCAAGGCGCAU